RNAcentral lists this long non-coding RNA (488 nucleotides) under Vigna radiata. RNAcentral's name for it is "long non-coding RNA (VRAD_LNC010188)". The record is from RNAcentral. Lineage: Eukaryota; Viridiplantae; Streptophyta; Magnoliopsida; Fabales; Fabaceae.
GCUUAUUUCGUCUCUAAGUUAGGAACUGAAUUUUUGUUUUAUACACGGUUUUAAAAAUGAAGUUAUUUUAUUCCUAUAUUACGAAUUUUGUAACAAUUCAAUCCCUUCCGUUAAGUAGGUAGGAACCACGCUUACUCUUUCCUUCUUUCUCCUCUGUUCUUCAUGACACUUUUUUUUUUCUCUCUUUUUUAUUUCUCUUACCAUUAACUACCUUCACAUUUUUCUCUCUCUUCCACCAUUAUUUGUUCUUCCACCAUUAAUUAUUUGUUCUCUUACCACACACUCAAACACACUUCUUUCUUUCACUCCCUUACCACUUAUUUCUUUUAUGCUUUCAUUGUUCUAAUAUCAAAAUUACCAUUACACUAAUUAGUUGUAGAUGCUCUUUCUUUUUUUACUCUUUAUAAAAAUAAAUCUCAGCAAUAUGUUUUAAAAUUAAAAAAGUUAUUAAUUAUUAUUAUUGCAUUUUUAUAUUUACAGAUCAGUUU